CCCCCAUUGCAAAUAGGCCCACAGGAGUGACAGCAGUGACAGGAAUAAUCUCUUUCCUGUCACAGACUGCCAGCGCCCAUGCUCUCUCCCGUGCAUCUCCUCCUCUGGCUCCAGCACUCACCUGAGAUCCGUGCAGGCAGUGUGGUAGCCGCCCCUCCCCUCCAGUCUCUCCUUCACUCAGGGCCCUGAGCCUGUCACUUACAGGCCCAAGCUCCGCCCCCAGACUGUACGGGGAGCUGCUGCUGAUGCAGGAAGCCUGAUGUACCCUGUCGCUAGGCAACGGACGGCGCGGAGGUGAUCAUGUCAUAGCCGGCGGACGGAGACGUGGCGCUCGACUCACCGUGUGCUGGUGGCAGUAAUUCCUACUUACUUAAGGCCAUGCUUGGCAUGCAUGCAGCUGAUUUUGAUGACAUACAUCAUAGGAUAGGGAAGGAAUUUCCUGUGUGUCAUUGAAUUCCUGUUUCCUGGCAGAGAAUCCUUUAUGGUUUCUCCCGGCGCACUGUGGAGUGGGGAAUACAAAGAUGGAAUGUUUACUACACAGCCUUGGAAAGCUAACAAUAUUUCAUAGAAAAUAAUUUUGUUAGGCAAGUUUGCAGUCUCGAAAAUAUGUACCAUACAGAACAAUAAAAGUGUAAGCCGAGUUAAUGUCA
Molecule: long non-coding RNA, 650 nt
Organism: Pseudophryne corroboree (corroboree frog)
Lineage: Eukaryota; Metazoa; Chordata; Amphibia; Anura; Myobatrachidae
Exons: 4
Source: RefSeq, a predicted model, not a curated record